CCCUUAGAUGUUCUGGGCCGCACGCGUGCUACACUGAGUAAAUCAAUGGGUAAGGGAACACGAAAGUGCAACCUAAUCUUGAAAUUUGCUCGUGAUGGGGAUCGACGGUUGCAAUUUUCCGUCGUGAACGAGGAAUACCUUGUAGGCGCGUGUCAUCAUCACGUGCCGAAUACGUCCCUGCCCUUUGUACACACCGCCCGUCGCUCCUACCGAUUGAGUGAUCCGGUGAGGCUCUGGGACCUGGACGGAAAGAGCGUUUCGCUUGUUCUGUUUGGGAAACUUGGUCGAACCUUAUCAUUUAGAGGAAGGAGAAGUCGUAACA
RNAcentral lists this ribosomal RNA (322 nucleotides) under uncultured eukaryote. RNAcentral's name for it is "partial 18S ribosomal RNA". It matches the Rfam family "Eukaryotic small subunit ribosomal RNA", at positions 1470 to 1796 of the family's 1831-position model. The record is from RNAcentral.